AAAAAAGCAGGGAUUUGUCAUAUUUUAUGAGCAGGUCUCUCGUAAACUUCAGGGACAUCAUUUCCAUUGUUAUUGGGUGAACCUCUGUAUCUUGUUUAUGACUGAAGGUUCAGUAAAUGAUGGAACAUGU
Small nucleolar RNA from Neltuma alba, 130 nucleotides. RefSeq annotates it as small nucleolar RNA snoR74. The transcript has a single exon. NCBI's taxonomy places the organism in Eukaryota, Viridiplantae, Streptophyta, Magnoliopsida, Fabales, Fabaceae. The record is from RefSeq and is a predicted model, not a curated record.